GACGAACGCUGGCGGCGUGCUUAACACAUGCCAGUCGAACGGAAAGGCCCUGCUUUUGUGGGGUGCUCGAGUGGCGAACGGGUGAGUAACACGUGAGUAACCUGCCCUUGACUUUGGGAUAACUUCAGGAAACUGGGGCUAAUACCGGAUAGGAUCUCCUGCUGCAUGGUGGGGGUUGGAAAGUUUCGGCUGUUGGGGAUGGUCUCGCGGCUUAUCAGCUUGUUGGUGUGGUAGGGGCUUACCAAGGCUUUGACGGGUAGCCGGCCUGAGAGGGUGACCGGCGACAAUGGGACUGAGAUACGGAGCAGAAUGCAACGGGAGGCAGCAGUGGGGAAUAUUGCACAAUGGGCGGAAGCCUGAUGCAGCAACGCCGCGUGCGGGAUGACGGCCUUCGGGUUGAAAACCGAUUUCGCCUGUGACGAAGCGUGAGUGACGGUAAUGGGUAAAGAAGCACCGGCUAACUACGUG
RNAcentral lists this ribosomal RNA (468 nucleotides) under uncultured bacterium. RNAcentral describes it as "partial 16S ribosomal RNA". It matches the Rfam family "Bacterial small subunit ribosomal RNA", at positions 28 to 507 of the family's 1533-position model. The record is from RNAcentral.